CUACUUUAUAUCUUUAACCAUUCUUUACUUGUAGCCGUUCUUUAUUAGCUAUUUACGUUCAUUAGCUAUCUUUAUUCUUAUUCUUUAUCAUAUUGUGCUCACUGGCGAUUCUUUCCUAAGGUUACUUUACCUUAGUCAUCUAGCCACCCGACUCGGUCUUGAGUCAAUCAAUCGCGGAUAGUCCGCGCACUGUCUAGCUCGAGGUGAAGGAACUCUCACAUGCACCUCAGCUGGCAACAGCUCACCGUACUCCUGUCCUAGCCGUCUGGUGGCGAACAAUCGCACCUCACCCAACAACGGCCUAGGUAAAUGACUUAGCCACCCGGCGGCGAAAUCGUCGCACAACGCCACGACAGUGGUUCAGUCAACAGGCGGUAGGAUCCAUAAACUGGCUAACCAUCCGGCGGCGAAAUCGUCGCACACGCCACGACAAUGGUUCUUUAGCCCUUGGGCGGCGAAAUCGUCGCACACACCCGACACCCCUUUGGGUGCAUCAACAAGCUUUGAGAUUCCAGAAUCCAUUUCACAUUACUCGAGGGUUAGUUUUAUCCCUAUGGAAUCGACCUAUCUAGGUCCAAGUCUUUACUCGACCUAAUUUAACACUUUAGGUUCGAUUCUUUUAUAUUCUUAGCCCAGGUUUAUUAUCCCUAGAACCAUCAUUCUUUCCAACCUAGGUUCACUUGACUCUAUGUUAAGCACUUUUCAUUUCACAACCUAUGUUCUUUACAUUAGGUUUAACAUCAUUCUUAUUUAACCUAUGUUUAAUAACACUAGGUUCAUUUCAUAUUCAACCUAUGUUUAAUAACAUUAGGUUCAUUUCAUAUUCAACCUAUGUUUAAUAACAUUAGGUUCAUGCCACUCGAUCUAUACAAUGUCCAACCUAGGUUCAAUAACUUAGGUUCACGCCACUCGAUAUAUAUAUGUCUUCCUAGAUAUUCUUUUCUAGGUCCACAGUUUACAUAUUCAUAAAUUCUCAUUUAUCUUGUUACCAUCGAGGUUUCUAAUCAACUAGAAGCAUCGAUAUUCAUACAACCUGAACUAUAGUACAUUCAUUUUCAUAUAUGUUUAGACAUAGGCAUCGAACAUUCACUUUCAUAAACAUUUAACACGAACUUUCUUUAAUACUAACUUUCACGUAUCAACAAUUAUCUAUGCUCUAGCAUUUAUGUUCGCAUUUCGACAAUUAUAUUCAUAUGCAUCUAGCAUUCAUGUUCAUAUAAUAAGCAUUAUAAAUCAUCUAGCAUCAACCAUCUUAUGUCAACAAUCAUAUAUGCGUACUCAUAUGCGUCUAGCAUUUAUGUUCGCAUUUCGACAAUCAUAUUCAUAUAUGCGUCAAGGAAACCAUAUUUUUCUUUGGCAUGGAAGUGACCUAAUCACUUCGGUAAACACAACCCACCUUUAUUUGAUACCUGGAUGUGAGAAAUCCACUUUCCACACUUUCCCGAGAAUUGCGAUUCCGCGCUCGCGACAAUUGUAGCCGAAAAUGUCCUUUUGGCGCUAUCUUUGCGUAGGAUCGACGGAUUGCCGAACCGACUUCGCCAACGAGUUUCUUUUACCCUCAAUUAGGUUUGUACGCGGUCAAUUUCAAGUUAGGACUUUAAUCCUGCAAAAGCGCAUUAUCGAGCUUAGGUUUCCAUUUAACCGUUUCUAUGUAAACCUUAGCUUUUCUCUAGGUUUCCAUGGCAAUUUCAGCCAUUAGAAACCUAUAAUCCCUUGCCUUAACUCAUUUUCCUCUUGUCAGGUUCACAUACAGGACAUCCAUAGGCCUACUUUCUUGGACUAACAACAAAACAGCUUUAUGGAUUCAUGCUGCCAGCAUAGGUGGGAAUUCAGCUUUAAUAAACUGAAUUCAGCUUACUCACACACAUGUGGAGAUUCAAUCUUAACACCCCACAACCUACCAUUAGGGAAUUGAAGAACUUGACAUCAAUCCCUACUUAAAACCUGCAUAAGAGCUGGUUUUAGUCCUGUCAUCUUCACACUUCUACGCACUUCACCUUUAACCCAACUCACAUAUGCUGCUAGCAUGCAUCACUAAGCUUCCCCACAAUUUCCUCAUGACAUUAGAGGUUCUAACAACCUAGAAACCAUACUAAAUCAGAUAUAGGGUCAAUAUCAUCACCUCUAAUAAGGAGAUAGCAAUUAUUUACCUCAGAUUUUGAAGCUCCAACUCAAAACUCGCUCUCCGCGGAGCUUUCUUCCCCGCUGCUGCAGUUUUUCGCAGCAUAACAUCACUCCAUCACUUCUCCAUUAACCCUCUGCAUGUGGCUUAAAGAGAGAAGAAAGAAGAAGAGAGAAUAAACGUGGUGGAGGAGAAGAAAAAGAGGACGAAAGAGAAGGAAGGAAAAUUCUUCUCUGCUCUGAUCUUCCUCACAGCCAACACAAACUCCACCUUUCUUUUCUCCAAAUCCUUUCAAGAGUCCCCCCCACAGCCCUCUUGUAUGGUUUAGAGAGAGAAGGAAAAGAGAGGAAAAAAAUAAAGAGAAAAGAGAGAGAGAAGACCCUACACGUAUCUAUCAGCUGGGGUGAAGAGAUAAGUUCAACAAACUGCUGCUUACUCCCUCAAAAUUGUGAAACUGCAUUGCAGUCCAGCAGUUCUCAAUUCAGUCCCUGCAGAUUCACAAUUCAGUCCCUGCAGGUUCGCAGUUCAGUCCCUGCACUAAACCUCAGCCUGGCAGCAGCAAAUUUAGAUCUUUUUGCGCGUCUAGUUCGCUUCGAACCCUUCUAAUCACUUCCAAAUUAUACUAAUACACCUCUACAAGCUGCCAAUUUAAUUUGGAAGCAAUUAAUUUUUAUUUUAGCAUCAUCUUGACCAAUGUGAGUACGAUCAACAACAUAAUCAAGCUCCAACAACCUUAUAUGGCAGCAGCUUCUCUCGAAGCUUGUUUCACGCGGCCACUUCAUCCCAAAUUCCUCUAAACACUUCCAAUACAUGCCAAAUAACAUCCCAAAGCUACUAAUUUAGUUCGGAGGCAAUUCAUUUUCAUUUUGGCAUCAUUGUAACCAACGAGAGCAAGAUUUACAACACAAUCAAGCUCCAAUACUUUGCAUAGCAGCAGCACAAUUGGAGGCCCUUUUUCACUUCCACUUCACUCCGAAUCUCUCCAAAUACUUCCCAACUCAUGGUUAAUGAUUCCCAAACCUCCAAUUUAAUUUGGGAAUACCACACUUUACAUUCAUUCCUUAUUUUGCUCACUUUGCUCAACAUGAGUCUUAUAAUCCGACAAUUUCCUUUUACAUUUUGUUUCGCGUCCAACUUGCGCCGAAACACUCAUUUAUCACCGGAAUUCAUUCCCACGCAUCCAAAAUCACUCAAGGAUGAUGUCCAACUAGCUCAAGCCUUACUUUAAUCCCCUAGAGCAAAGUUGACAUCGCAACUCCAAGAUACCAUAUAUUACAACUUCCCCCCGUUAACAAAAGUUUCGUCCGCGAAACUUAGAUAUAUAUUACUCCUCAUUGCUUAACGGAUGGAGAUAAAUUCCAACACCAUUCCAAAGUUUCUCGACUUCCCCCAUGCUAUAUUGAUUUCUCCUAAUCAGUCUCUAUGAACUCUUCGUUCAUGUCUCCAAUAUCAACUCGUCAUCAGCGAUUAACUUAGCAACUCUCACUUCUAGUGCACCCGGUUAAACCAUCCGUCUCAAUUACCGCAGUUCGGUUCAUAAUUUACUGAUUCGGUGUAGGCCUACUGCCUAACUCAACUACGAUAUCACCCGAUGUCUCUUGGUCGCAAGCGUGGACCCAAUCACUAUGAAGUGAAGUCCUCAUUUAAGACCUCACACAACUACUCUAACUAGGAGCCAUUCAACUCUCUAAACCACUACACAUCUUAGUGUUAUGUCAAUCUACGCUUCCAGCGUAUUACUAAUCACAUGAUCCACUACAUGGCCUACCACGUUAUCGAUUCCUGCUCGGACUACCGUCCUGAUCAAACCUCUGCCCUAACCACACAGGUGUCGGGCCGCUGUCACACACAGCUACUACGUCUGCCCAAAGGGCUCCAGGCUUUGCAAUUCACAAGUGGUCCAGGCACGGAUUGUCCACAAGCAACACUCGCAACCGUCGUCUCACACGACACGCUCUACCGAGCACACGUACCACUAUCAGCUCCUAAGCACCUAGUGCGAGCUACCAGCCCUACGAGUGAUCCUUGGCACGCUUCACACUUAGCAACGCUCCAGUGCUACUGCCAACACACUUACGGUUGAAUCAACUCCGCACAGUACGAGCAUCUAUGCUCGAGCGCUCCAUACAACUCUAUCGCGCGUCAUACUAAGUCCAGCAUUAGGCAACUCUUGCCUAUGCAUAUCGACUACACGAGCACGACCUACUUACCUCAAUUCGAGGUAUUGCUAGGUCCAAGUGCACGUACCAGACGCAACAGUGAUUCCAUUUUCACUGUCCGAUCUACCGGAACAACCUCUAAAAUGCUCGGUCUCACAAGAGUUUCACGAACAUCGCGACUUGACUCUCGCAAUCAGCAACUCGCAUUAGUUUGAGAGUUGGUCAGCCACUACCAUUAUUACCACACUAGCACCAGCGCUUUGCUAGUGCCUUCAAAUUCUCUACCUGCUUCAACAGGUACUACACUUCCACUCACAAACAAACACAAGCAGGUACGAAGUAAUGCAUGUUAUGCACUAAAUGUACAUGAUGCAGAAAGUAUGAUUGCUUUAAUUAACUCAUACCUGUCACAGCGCCAACAGUCGCAGCAGGUUCCUCCACAUGGAACGCCUAUCCACGGCCACUUGUCGUUCGCCNAGUUUUGAGAGUUGGUCAGCUACUACCACUAUUCCCACACUGUCACCAGCGCUUUGCUAGUGCCUUCAAAUUCUCUACCUACUUCAACAGGUACUACACUUCCACCCACAAACAAACACAAGCAGGUACGAAGUAAUGCAUGUUAUGCACUAAAUGUACAUAAUGCAGAAAGUAUGAUUGCUUUAAUUAAUUCAUACCUGUCACAGUGCCAACUGUCGCAGCAGGUUCCUCCACAUGGAACGCCUAUCCACGGCCACUUGCCGUUCGCCGCGAACCCCUGGAUUGCCUUAUCCUCAUUCGCUCUCCAGACCAUGCCGGAGGUAGCACACCUGCAAGCUGUCCCGGAGAGGAAAAUGCCGUCGUUAGCGUCCGGCUCGACUAUCACCCUGUGGACACUCAUCCCGCGCAUGACCUAGCUGUCCACAUCUGAAGCACUUGCCUUCUCGCUGCUCACACUGCUGUGGGUAGUGAGGACCCCCACAAACAACACAUCGUGCUGAGGAUCGAAUGCUAUAUGUUCCCGGAGCUCGAGAUCGCGAGCGCGAAUACUUUGAGGUUUGCUGAGAACUUGACUGACCAUCGUCCCCACUUGCUGGCCGUCCUUUCCCUUUUUCCUUGUAAUAAGACUCGCGCUCCUCCCGCACAGAUGCAUUGCCUUGUUCUAUCCACAAGGCCCGAUCCAAAACUUCAGCAAAGGUUUGCAACUUCAGAUUAUGCACUGCCUUAAAAAUAUCAGGCUGAAGUCCUCGUACAAAACAAUCAGCUCGAUCCUUGUCAUCUUGUACCACACCUGGAACCCAAUUCACGAGACGGGAAAAUUCCCGCUCGUAUUCUCUUACAGAGCGAUCUCCCUGCCGCAAAUUCUGAAACCUGUCCCGAAGCUUCCUCUUUUCACUAUCGGGGAAAUAAACUGAAGUUAUUACUUCCCGAAACUCUUGCCAAGUCAUAGGAGGAAGACUAGGCGAUCGAUUCUGCUUGAUGCCUUUCCACCACGUCUUCACUGAUCGUUGCAGACAAUGCACGGCUAGGCGCACCUUGUCCCGCUCCACUGUGUACAAGUCCUCGAAAAUAGACUCUAUGGAGUCAAUCCACGACUCCACAGUCCAUGGAUCUGUGUCCUCCCCAUCAAAAGUAGGCGGAUCAAACUUCUUGAACGACAUGAGGGCCGCCAAAGCUCGCUCUCUUUCUGCUUCCACCUCUGAACUAACAGCAGUCGGAUCACCCGACUCCGACGGAAAUGCCUCUGCCGCAACUCCCGGCUGUACAUGACGAACCGAAACGGGUGUGGUCACCAACUGAUCCACCGUCUCCUGCAGUCUCUUUAUCUGCUCUUCCUGACGCAGAGCAGCCUCCUGCUGACGCUGCACCACAUCCGUUUGUUGCCUGACCACUCCUACGAGUGUGGCCAACUGAUCGCGAAGCUCCAAGUCUCCGCUCGCCUCGUUCUGCUCAGGGACACCACUUGUCCCCUCCCGCGCCGAUCUAGCCGAAGAUCGCCUACGCGGUGCCAUCGUUUCCUGAAACACGACACGACAACUCGGUCAGUCCUCAACCCUCUGGGCCGAAUACGAAACAAUUAAUAGCGACUCUAAUCGGGCGAAAGUCACGCAAGGCCGUUUAUUCUCAUCACUCGGUUUCAUGUUGUCGCGCGCCAACAUGAACAUCCUUGGUUGAGAAUAAACCACACCUCGAGUCUACCUCUAAUCUCCUUUUUAGAGGUUUACCAAACUUGACCCAAUCGAUUUACCUUUCGCCACACGUCACAAGUCCUCGUCUCUCACGAGCAUAAGUCCUUACGGUUUACUAUCCUAGGUCUCCUAGGUCCAUCUAAACCGUUUCUAUUAUUCUCUUUUAUGCUCUUUUAUGCUCUGAUACCAUUUAAUCUGUCACGCCCCGAGCUCCGCCUAUUUGGUCGGAUUCGGGCACGCCGACAGACCGCCGAACGGACAGAGCCUCCCCUGUACGUUCUAGGCGUCAACAAUCUAAACAAUGCAAUACAAGAGGUUCCAUGCAGGAACUAUAGCAAGUAUGUAGAUUGCAUAAGUAUCAAAAACAUAAAAUGCUAACUAUGCUAUUACAAGCAUUCAACUCACAGAUUCUUUAGACAUUUACAAUAGUUUACAUUUACAUAACCAAAUGUGCCUUUAAGUUAUUACAAAACUUAUACAAAUUACUACAAAUUUGUUUCUUUCCAAUUGGAACUCUGAGCUGGACCUCUUCAGGGUACUUCUAUCACUGGUCUCGGUGGUAGGGCGCUAUCUACGGAGCUACGCCCUGUCCUCGCGCCGCUGCGCCGCUCACGUGUAACCUGUACCCCCAAAACAACACGGGGGUGAGAACUAUAUAAAUAUAGUUCCCAGUGGGUACGGCCACCCAAGGGAAGAGCUCGACCCACCAGGUCCAAAGGAGGCAACAGUAGGUUAGUUCAACAAAUAGAUAGAUAGAUAUUUGACUAAGCAAUAAAUAAAACCAUACCUUGCCUCGCUGCUAUGCAAUAUGCAAAACCUGUCAAUCAUGUAAGUAGAUUACUUGAUUCUACUUUAUAUCUUUAACCAUUCUUUACUUAUAGCCGUUCUUUUAUUUCUUAGCUAUUCUCGUUCAUUAGCUAAUUUCAUUAUCGUUCAUGUUUUGCUCUUUAUUCUUUGUACUUGUACUUGGUGUUCUACACCUUAAACUUGGGCCCACUAUAUUCAUUGGCAAAUUCUUUCUUAAGGUUGCUCUUACCUUAAUCUCACUAUGCCACCCGACUCGGUCUUGAGUCAAUCAAUCGCGGAUAGUCCGCGCACUGUCUAGCUCGAGGUGAAGGAACUCUCACAUGCACCUCAGCUGGCGACAGCUCACCGUACUCCUGUCCUAGCUGUCUGGCGGCGAACGAGUCGCACCUCACCCAACAACAGCCUAGGUCAAUGACUUAGCCACCCGGCGGCGAAAUCGUCGCACACGCCACGACAGUGGUUCAGUCAACAGGCGGUAGGAUCCACAAGCUGGCUUAACCAUCUGGCGGCGAAAUCGUCGCACACGCCGAACAAUGGUUCAAGCCUCCGGGUGGUGGACACUGCGCACACACCCAAUCCUGCCUUGGUAUCAAUCUCGGCGGCGAAAUCGUCGCACACGCCCUAGCCUUGAUACCAAGGUUAUAAUAGAUCUUGGGAUUCCGGAAUCCAUUUCCACAACUUGAGGGUUUACUCACUUUACCCUAUGUUGACGACCCUCCUAGGUCGAUACCAAUCCUUUCCUAGUGGUCACUAUACCACUAAUAUUCACAACUUAGUUCAAAUGUACUAAGUCUUACUAUAUAUCAUAACCUAGGUUCAUUUGCUAGGUUUUAUAUCAUUUUCACCUAGAACUCGACUCUAGGUUUAAUUACUUGACCUAUGUCCAAUGACACUGGGUUAAUGUCCGACCUCUGUUUCAAGAACACUAGGUUCAUGCCACUCGAUCUAUUACAAGUUGCACAUUUUCAUUUACUUUGUUACCGUCCAGAUUUCUACUCAAUUGGAGGUGUCGAUUUAUACCCAAUUCUUAGGGAUUUCACAUGAAGUUCAUAGUUUACAUACCAUAAAUUCACAUUUCACAUUCAACUUAUUUGCCCUUGGCAUCUAUGUAGGCUUUAGCAUAUAGCGACAUUCAUAUAGUAUGUAGGCUUUAGCAUAUAUUUUCACAUUUUAUAUUCAACUUAUUCGAUCAUAUGAAUUGCACAUCACUAUGCAUCAAACUUUCACGUUCAUAUAUCGACAAGUAUGUGUAUUUAACACGAUUAUAUGUAUUGACAAUUAUAUGUCUUUAACACGAUCUUCAAUAUAUUCACAUGCCUCUAGUUUGUUCAUUACCUGAUUGGUACAUCACCUAGCAUGGGAUUCACAUUCAUAUAUAUGAAUUCUUAUGUUUCCAGCAGUCACAAUUCACGCAUUCAUAUGCCUACUCAUAAGCAUUUAGCAUUCAUGUUCAGAGGUCGACAAUCAUAUUCAUAUAUAUGCGUCAAAUGAAACAAUGAUUUACUUUGGCAUGGAAGUGACCUAAUCACUUCGGUAAAGCACAACCCACC
This 8803-nucleotide long non-coding RNA is filed under the name Ananas comosus (pineapple). RNAcentral describes it as "long non-coding RNA (ACOM_LNC044422)". Lineage: Eukaryota; Viridiplantae; Streptophyta; Magnoliopsida; Poales; Bromeliaceae. The record is from RNAcentral.